GUGAACCUGCGGAAGGAUCAUUAACGAAUUUUAAGUCGGCCUUGCUGUGCUGGUGGAAACACAUGUGCACGCUCGGUCGCAAAUCCACACACCUGUGCAUCUAUGACUCGAAGUCGUCGUCGUAUGACCGAGAGUAACUUUUACACACUCUUGAAUGUAAAGGAAUGUUCAUGUGCAUAAUGUACAAUUAAACAACUUUCAACAACGGAUCUCUUGGCUCUCGCAUCGAUGAAGAACGCAGCGAAAUGCGAUAAGUAAUGUGAAUUGCAGAAUUCAGUGAAUCAUCGAAUCUUUGAACGCACCUUGCACCCUUUGGUAUUCCGAAGGGUACACCCGUUUGAGUGUCAUUGUAAUCUCACUUGUACAACUUUUUUGUUGUCGAAUGUGGACUUGGACGUCUGCCGUGUUUCAACGGCUCGUCUUAAAUGCCUGAGUGUACCCCGCUUUGCGGCGUAUUCGGUGUGAUAAACAUUUCACCGGAGUUUGGUCUUCUGACCGCGCUUUUGCAAUUGGUGGGCUCUAUGCUUUCCAACCGUCCCUUGUGGACAAAUCUUUGACAAUUUGACCUCAAAUCGGGUGGGACUACCCGCUGAACUUAAGCAUAUCAAUAAGCGGAGGAAAAGAAACUAACAAGGAUUCCCCUAGUAACGGCGAGUGAAGAGGGAAAAGCUCAAAUUUUGAAUCUGGUGUCUUUGACUCCCGAGUUGUAAUCUAGAGAAGUGUUUUCCGUGUCGGACCACGUAUAAGUUCCCUGGAACGGGGCGUCAUAGAGGGUGAGAAUCCCGUAUAUGCCGUGGACUACCGAUGCUCUGUGAUACACUCUCAACGAGUCGAGUUGUUUGGGAAUGCAGCUCAAAAUGGGUGGUAAAUUCCAUCUAAAGCUAAAUAUUGGCGAGAGACCGAUAGCGAACAAGUACCGUGAGGGAAAGAUGAAAAGCACUUUGGAAAGAGAGUGAAACAGUACGUGAAAUUGUUGAAAGGGAAGCGUUUGAAGUCAGUCACGUUUGUUGGGAUUCAGCCUGGCUUCUGCCUGGUGUAUUUCCUAGCCGACGGGUCAGCAUCAGUUUCGACCAAGGGAAAAAGACAUUUGGAAUGUGGCUGUCUUCGGGCAGUGUUAUAGCCUUGUGUUGUAUGCCUUGGUUGGGACUGAGGAAUGCAGCGCGCC
RNAcentral lists this ribosomal RNA (1165 nucleotides) under uncultured Sebacina. RNAcentral describes it as "eukaryotic LSU rRNA". The stretch from base 563 to 1165 matches the Rfam family "Eukaryotic large subunit ribosomal RNA", at positions 1 to 606 of the family's 3401-position model. The record is from RNAcentral. Lineage: Eukaryota; Fungi; Basidiomycota; Agaricomycetes; Sebacinales; Sebacinaceae.